This 16235-nucleotide long non-coding RNA is filed under the name Phoenix dactylifera (date palm). RNAcentral describes it as "long non-coding RNA (PDAC_LNC006700)". The record is from RNAcentral. Lineage: Eukaryota; Viridiplantae; Streptophyta; Magnoliopsida; Arecales; Arecaceae.
UGAUUCUGGGUCUAACUGAAUCAUGUGAAGUAUCAUCUUCCGGAUCCCAGCAUCUUGUAUCUGCAAUUACAAUACAUAAUCAUCCAACUUUGUGAUAACUAAUUUUGAAAGAAAGUAGGCAACACAGAUUAUUAUACGUAGAACUCGAAAAAGUUUUGACAAUUUGAUAACAAGAUGAAUGAUAAAAAAAGACGAAUAGAUUGAAAAACUAAUGCAUACUUCAUAUAAAGGUGGCCCAAUGCACAAGACUCCCAACAUUGCGGCAUUAGGGAAGGAUUAGAUUUACACAGCCUUACCCCUCCAUGCAAAGAUAUGUUUCUAUGUUUCAAAUCCAUGACCUCCAGGUUAUAAUGGAGCAACCUUACCGUUGCACCAAAGCUUACCCUCAAACACAUUAUUGAUAUAAUAUCAUAAAUUUAUAUUCCUAAAAAUACAAAAUAAACUUCAUAUUCUCGAAAAUCAUAUGUUAUUCAACAAACUAUAUGAUUCUACAAACAUGGUGAUGCAGGACAAUGCUGAAAAGAGAGGAAGGAAGAAGAAAAGGAGAGGAGGAGAGGAGGGAAAAGAACCGGGCUUCUCACCUGGCUCUGACCGUGGCUUCGUACCAGGGUUUCAAAGAAAGGAGGCAAUUUCAUUCAAUCAAUCAUUAACCCUAAACAAGUGCAUGAACCCAUAUAUAUAGGAUUACAAAAUAACGAAAAGACCCCUACAAAGAAAAUAAUCACAAAAAGGUCCUAAAUUGACAAUAUGCAAAUAAGCCCCAUAAAAAUGAAAUAAAAUAACAUCAAAUCAAUCUAGCCAUAAAGAAACUGACUGGACCAUCCUCCUGCAACGACCGUGGCCUCGCAUAACAGGCGGUCCGGUACUGGUGUCCGCACCAACUCCCCUCAGGUGAGAAGAAGUCGACCUCGAUGAAUGCGGCUCGGUACAACUCUGGUAGUACUCUAAGAGGUCCAGAUCAAUCCGCUGAAGCUCGUCCUAAGUCAUCCAAGUCGAAUCGAACUCCGGUCGUCCUCUCCAACGAACCAAAAGGCGCUAAAUACUUCCAUCACUGGAUAAAAUGGUUUGCCCGUCUAAAAUAGGGUUAAUGAGUUCUUUUUGUGCUGGUGGAAGAGGCAAAGGAAGUGUGAAUGGGAUGGGAUCAGGAAUAGAAGAAUCAUCAGGCUCAAGAGAAGGCUUAGCGAAAGGGUCAGCAAGGAUGAAUGGUGGACCCUUGAAAGCAACUAAAUCUUCAAUAUUAAAAGUAGAGCUGAUACCAAAAUCAGAUGGAAGAUCAAUAACAUAGGCGUUCAUGCCAAUCUGAUGCAAAACCCGAAAGGGCUCAACACUACGAGCCUGCAGUUUCUUAACGGAUCCCUGCAGAAACCGCUCAGGCCGAAUACGCACCAUAACAUAAUGCCCAUGUUGGAAUAUCCCACCUAUGGAAAACAGCUUGUAGUUUAUAUCGAGCAUUACUCGCAUGAAUGUGCUUACAAAUAUCCUGAUGCAGCUUAUGCAUGUGUUGUGCAAAUGCAUGUGCAGACUCUGAAAUGCGAAUAUGCGGUGAUAUGGGUAGAAGGUCGACAGGCUUUCUAGCUUGAAACCAUGUACCACCUCAAAUGGACUCAUCCCUAUGGACCUAUUGAUCAAAGUGUUGUAUGCAAAUUGAGCGACAGGAAGGAUGGAAUCCCAAUUACGGUUAUUUGCACUCACAAGACACCGCAACAGGUUACCUAAACUUCGGUUGACCACUUCUGUUUGGCCAUCUGUUUGGGGGUGGUAAGCAGUGAAAAAUUUCAGCUUGGUACCAACCAUGUGCCACAGUUUUCCAAAAGUAACUCAUGAAGUGAACAUCCCUAUCGGACACGAUCGUUUUCGGUAAUCCAUAUAACUUAACAAUUUCGUCGAAGAAAAUAUUGGCCACCCUAGAAGCAUCGGACGAUUUGGAACAGGGGAGGAAGUGGACCAUUUUGGAAAAACGAUCAACAACCACCAAAAUUGAAUUAUGUUUCCGAAAAGUGCAAGGAAGACCUAGUACGAAGUCCAAGCUGAGGUCAAGCCAAGGACGAUCGAGAGCAGGCAACGGGGUAUACAGGCCAGUAUUUUGUUUUCUAUGUUUGGCUAGUUGACAAGUUUGACACUGACCUACAAUUUUAGCAACGUCACGUUUCAGACUUGUCCAAAAGAAUUGAUGUUCGACUUUAGCAAUAGACUUUAUCGCGCCCAAAAUGCCCCGAGAGACCCCCAGCAUGGACUUCCCAAACUAAAAAGUCCCUUGCCGACAUGUGCGGGAUACAGAGCUUAGAGGCUUUAAACAGGUACCCGUCCUGUAAAUAAAAAUCAUCUAUUAUGGGUCCUUGUCCUUUGGCGAGGGCAGCAUAAAUUUUACCAAAAUCGGGACAAGACACAGUCUUCCUUAAGUUUGUCAAAGCCCGUGAUAGUGAUAGACAUGGCCGAGAGCACGGCUACUCGCCGACUCAGCGCAUCCGCAGCUUUGUUAGCAGCACCCGAUGUAUGCUUCAAGACAAAAGUGUACUCCUGGAAAAAUUCAACCCACUUAGCAUGGCAAUGAUUCAGCUUUUUCUGGAAAUGAAGGAAUCGAAGGGCCUCAUGGUCGGAGUGAAGGACGAAUUCGUUAGGGAGUAGAUAGUGACGCCAAUACCGCAGGGCUUGGACAAUAGCAUAAAAUUCUUUAUCAUAGGUGGAAUACUUUUGUUUAGCCUCAUUGAGCUUUUCACUAAAAUAGGCCAUAGGGUGAUGUUCUUGACUGAGCACUCCACUAAUCACUAAGCCAGAGGCAUCACACUCCACUUCAAAAACCUUGCUAAAAUCAGGUAACCGCAUAACUGGUGACUGUGUCAUCCUUUUCUUAAUGUCGCCAAAUGCUUUGGCGGCAUUGCCCGUCCACCGAAAGUCACCUUUCUUAAGGCAAUCCGUGAUGGGUGCCAUAAGUGUACUAAACCCCCUAAUAAAGCGACAGUAAAAUGUGGCAAGCCUGUGAAAGCUACAGACAUCACUAAUAUUCUUGGGCUCGGGCCAUUCUACUAUUGCAGUAAUUUUCUCAGGGUCAGCAAAUAAGUCCUCGGAAGAGACUAUGUAACCUAAGAAGUUAAUAUGAGAAGUGAAGAAAGAGACUUCUUAAGGUUAGCAUAUAGCCUCACAUUACGUAACGUUGUGCAAACCUGUCUUAAAUGAUCCAAAUGUUGCUCUUUCGAGUGGCUGUAAAUGAGGAUAUCAUCGAAGUACACGACUAAAAACUUGCCCAUGAAUGGUCGCAGAACUUAGGUCAUUACUCGCAUAAAAGUACUAGGAGCAUUUGAGAGACCAAAUGGCAUCACCAGCCAUUCGUAUAGGCCAUCAUUUGUUUUAAAAGCCAUCUUCCACUCAUCACCUAGGCAGAUUCGGAUUUGAUGGUAGCCACUUUUUAAAUCAAUCUUGGAGAAGAUCGUGGCACCUGCCAUCAUAUCCAACAAAUCAUCGAGCCGAGGAAUGGAAAAACGGUAUUUAACCGUGAUCCUGUUGAUUGCCCGACUGUCAACACACAUUCGCCACGUGCCAUCUUUCUUUGGAGUGAGGAGUGCGGGCACGGCACAAGGACUCAAGCUCUUCCAAAUGAACUUUUUUGUAUGAGCUCGUUAACUUGCCUCUGCAGCUCAGCAUGCUCAGAAGGAUUCAUUUGAUAGUGAGAUAGAUUGGGUAAAGUAGCUCCAGGAACCAAAUCAAUGGCAUGUUGUAUGUCACGCAAGGGUGGCAAAUGAUUCAGGAGGUCCUCAGGGAAAACUUCCAAAAAUUCCUUAAGGAUAGAAAAGCCUUCAGAGAGUAUCUCGCUUUGCGUAUUUAGGUGGUUCUCUAGGACAAGGCAAACACCAUAGAAUCACGGAUAACUUCUCUUUCAAAUUCGGAGGGGCUCAGGAUAUGGAAUUCUUUGCGCGUUGGCUCAUUUUCUUCUUACCCUUGUCAAGCACCUUGGGCUUCAAGGGGUUAAGUGUAAUCCUCUUGCCCUUAAAUGUAAACGAGCAAGAAUUAGAUUGACCAUAGAAGGUGACAUCAAGGUCGAACAACCAAGGCCUCCCCAAUAUGAGGUGACCCACAUCCAUCGGGAUCACAUCACACCAGAUGGUGUCUUUAUAAGAGAGAAUUUGAAUUGGUAUGAGACACCUUUCUUUGAUAUGGAUCGAAGACAUGUCAAUCCAGGAGACUUUGUAAAGUUGGAUCUGAGGGACGGGAGUUAAUCCCAAAUGGAAGAUAAUGUUUCAAGGUAUUGCAUUAACGCAACUCCCGCUAUCAAUAAUAACCUUGCAGUCCUUAUCUCCGCACUCGAUAUAAGUAUGGAAGAUCGAAGUUCUUCUCCAGUCAUCAUGCUUGGCAGGUUGGGCAAGAGCACACCUGACUACAUUCAUGGUGGACUGAACAGGUUCGGUGAUAACUGUUGGAGGCGUGGUCCGGAUACAGCCUAAAGUGUCUGAAUUUCCUCAUAUUCGUCAUCGACGUCUUGGAUGUUGUCUAGAUUUGGCUCAUAUACUUGUUCCUCCAAGUCGGCAGUAGCACCCUCUUGUUCUUGCGCCUCAAUAACAAGAGAUUUAUUUGCGCAUUGUGAGGCGACAUGUCUAAAACCCUGGCACUUAAAGCAUUGGAUUCGAGAAGAUGGUUUGGGAGGUUCACCAAGAACUCCCUUGCCCUUAGUGUCCUUACUUGGGGUAGGGGUGGAAGAAAAAGGUCUUGGAGGCGCGGACCCAAUUGAAGGACGGGAUCCGGAAGGUUGAGCACCGGCGGGAGUCCCUUUAAUGUCAGAGUAUCUAACAAAUGUUGGCCUAGAUACCUGUUCAUAGUUGUGUACAAAUGUGUAAGCUUGAUCGAGGGUGGAUAUUUCACGAAGGACAAGUUCCUUUCUGAGCUCAUCAUUAAGACCUCGUCGAAACCGGCUCAGGAUCAUCCGUUCAUUUUCUUCCAUGUUACAUCGCAUCAUAAAUUCAUCAAACUGGACGAUGUAAUCAGUAGCAGGCCGAUUACCUUGUCGCAAGUUAUUUCAUCGGUCUAGGAGGUCAUCUUGGUAGCUUAGGGGUAGGUUUUUUUUUAAGUUUUUCUUUCAUUUCUACCCAGUCGGUUAUUGCAGGUUGAUGUCUCCUAGCUAGCAGUUGUUCGGUGCUUUACCAGAAAAGUUUAGCUCGACCGAUGAGCUUCAUUCUGGCGAACCGAACCCUCUUCUCCUCAGACAAAUUAUACCACUCAAAGAAGUGGUCCAUCUCGUGCAUCCAGUCCGAGAAGGCUUUUGGGUCAAGGCGUCCGUCAAAGGUAGGGGCUUCAACCUUAAUACCCCUCAUGACAUCUUCGUCGUGGUCUUGAGACUCUCUGGGUUCGACAUUAUGACGGGGACCUCAAUCAGCAUCAUGGAAGAGACCCAGUCUUCUGGGGUCAGGGUUGGCAUGGGGGCGACUUGGAAAAGGUAUAUUGUCAAAAUUAUCCUGCCGAAUAGAGAUUUGUGGGUCUAGGACUUCAUCCUCUAGGUCUCGGCCGGGGUAAUGGGCAACGCUAUCGUCUUUGGAUCCAAUGAUCCGUUAUAAGGAGGUUUCAACUGAAUCGAGUCGGGCAUUGGUCUGGGCAGACAUAGUGGUCAAGUCUUCAACUGCCUUCAUUAGGGCUUCGAUGCGGGCAUCCAUAGUAGAUUGGGAUUUGGAAUGCAGGAUGAUACGACCACUACGAAGGUACAUAAGAUAAAUGAACUCAAUUAUGUACUAUUCUAGCAAAUGAGGACAAUAUUAACUCUAAUGCAAACUUAAUGCAUGCAAUGAAUCUUAAUUGUCAAUAUGUAUGCUUAAUAUAAACCCCAAACUAAUCUCUAACAGUAAAAUAUGGCAAACUGGGAAUCAGUAGGUGACGCUAGCCAAUAAGAAGCUGCAGUCAAGUAGUACAGAUGUCCACUAGGAGUUGGGUGACAUGGGGUCUCAUAGGUCUUCCAAUUAGGGUUUAGCUCUACAAUUAAUAAUAAAGAAGGCUACUAAUAGGGUUGCGGUGUGUUUUGUGGAUGUGCGUGAAGCUUGUGUUUUGGAUUUCGGGUAUACCACCAAACACAAAAAUAACUUUCGAAUGCUAAAUGUAAACAAGCAAACCAAAUAUCCAAGAUAGAACAAACCUGAUCCGGUGGAGAGCGACGAACAAAGUGCAGCAACGAGCUCGUCAAUUGGCGCCAAUAGAGCCUGAUGUCAGCAACAUAUGGGCCUGAUCAAAAUAAUUUGGUGGGCCUGGCGACGGUGAUCGAUCUGAAUACAGGGAGUGUGGUGUAUGGUGGCAGGGCCCGGUGACUUGGGCCCGUGAAGGAGGCACUCGAGGUGGGCCUUGUACUUGGGCCCGUGAGAAGGAGCCCGAGAUGUGAUGAACAGGGCGCGGCUGGAUGGCCCAUGCCUUGUUGGGCCUGAAGGUGGGCUAGGCGGAAUGGGCUGCGGUNNNNNNNNNNNNNNNNNNNNNCGGCGGAAACCCGAUGGCAAGGGUUUCGGCACCCUUGCAGAGAUGAAGAGAGGGAGGAGAUGGAUGGCGGAAGGGGAAAAAAAAUGUGGCGAACGUGGGAGGGGGAGAAAUCGGGGAAGCGGUGGCGGAUGAAGCCGAUGAGGCGGAGGCGGGGCGUGGCGGACAAGGCGAGGUGCGACGGAGGAGGCGGCAGGUGGAGGAUGGGCAGGGUGCGGCGUUGGGGAAGGCGGAGAAGAUGAAGGAGAGGGGCCGCAACGGCAGCUCGGAGAAGAAGGGCGGCGAGGAAUGGCGGGGCUCGGCAUCGGGUGGGGUGCUCGGCGGCGUAGGUGGUUGCAGGGAAACGAAGCGGCGUUGAGGAUUUGGGAUGGAGAGACGAGGCGAAACAGGCGCUCGGCAGCGGCGGCUCGGGCGGGAUGAUCGAUGGCGGAGUUCGACGAUGGGUGAUGGAGCUUCAAGCGGAGCGGCGUGCGUGGGCAGUGGCACAGCGAUGGUAGCAGCAGCGGCGGAAACCAUAGCUCUAGGAUUUCCUCUUCGUCGGAAAGGAGGUAAGCAAAUCUUUUUUUGGGCAGCACGUACAGGUCACGUGCCUCUUUUUUUUCUCCAAAAUGGAUCCGAGUUACCCAAGAAAAAAGGUUAACGGGUCUGGACCUUACCCGUUAGCUGACUUUGAACCAUCCGACGGUUUCGGGAGGCCGCGCCGAGAUUCACGCCGGCGGUUGCGGGCGGAUCUCCACGGUCUGUGGUGGCGGUCGCCGACUCCGGCCAGUGGUGGGGACUUCACUUCCCUGCGGCUGCUACAGCGGAUCUGAGGCCGCAGGUUCCUCUUCCUACUUUCGAUGGGACUGAGGGACAGAGACGAGAGAAGAGAGGUGAGGCUCCCUCUCUUAUUGGCAAAGCGAUUAGCACGCGGCCCUUCAACAUACUCCGGCGUUCGCGGCGCGAUAGGUACACAAAGACCUCGUGCAGCAGCCAGGAACGUAGAAAUGGAGGCUUGCUCUGCCCUACACCAGGGCCUGCUGCUUUGGCACGAAGGCAAAGCACGGACUUUGAUACCAAAGUUGAUGCAGGACAAUGCUGAAAAUAGAGGAAGAAGGAAGAAGAAGAGGAGAAGAGGAGAGGAGAGGAAAAAACCAGGCUUCUCAUCUGGCUCUGACCGUUGCUUCACACCAGGGUUUUAAAGGAAGGAGGCAAUUUCAUUCAAUCAAUCAUUAACCUUAAACAAGUGCAUGACCCAUAUAUAUAAUAUUACAAAAAAAAAACCCUACAAAAAAAGAAUUCCAAAAAGGCCCUAAACUGACAAUAUGCAAAUAAGCCCCAUAAAAAUGAAAUAAAAUAACAUCAAAUCAAUCUAGCCAUAAAGAAACUGGCUAGACCAUCCUCCUGUGACGAUCGUAGCCCUGCAUAACAGGCGGUCCGGUAGUAGUGUCCGCACCACAUGGAUUUACAUUAAGUAAAUCUAUCAUGUUUUUAUUACAUUGAAGGGUUUCUCUAGAAUGGAGAAAUCUUUGCUCAUUGAGUACAUCUUGAGAACGACCACAACGAAAGUUUAUUAGUUUCUGUAAAAUCUAAUGGAAUGUAUUAGGUCGAUCUUUAAAUUGAGCAACAACCGAACAACAGUUACAAAAUAAUAAUAAUCCAAAGAAUCCACUUAUGAGGGUUAUAAAUUAAGAAAAGAUAACCACUAAAAUGUAACAGUCAUCAUAUGUAUUUCAUCCUAUUACCUUCUCAAAUAUAUAAAAAUAAUAGAGAGAGAGAGAGAGAGCAGGCUAAAAUGCACUUGAGUGCAUUCUUCCCCAAAUGUUUCCUUGUGGAAAACAAUGAUGGACCUCUUAAAAUUAAAAAACAACACUAUUGAUCAUUAUCUAUAAGUGUAUAAGAUGUCUAGAGGCUAAAAAUCUAUUUUUGACAACCACUUGCCUAUGCAUUAAGUGAACAAAAAAUGAAUUGUAGCAAUGCAGCUAGUAAGCUAAAGUAUAUAAUACACUAUUUAAUUUUCAAAUUCAAACCAUUGAUCUUCAUAUAAAUAUUUUAAAAUAUAUAACAAAUCAAAUUUUUUGACUGAUUCAUAUGCUUCUAAACUAUAGAUCAAGCUCCGCCGUACCGGUACCGGUCGGCAUACCGGAGGCCGGCCGGACAGGUACGAUACCGGUCUGGUCCGGUCCAUACCGGCCCGGUACAGCAAGCCGGGUUUUGGGUUCCCUUUUUUUUUUAGAUGUUGUCUCUGUUGGAUCUUAAAUUAAGUAAACUUUGAUAUUUUUUUAUUGCUUUUUUCAUGAUUUUUGAUGUUUCAAUGUUUAAAUUUAGGGUUGAAAUUUGAAACAUAGAUGAUGCAAGUUAUUACUUCCUUCCGUUCCAAAUGAUAAAAUGAUACACAUAAAAUAUCUUCAAACUAAGAUGCAAUCAUUUACAUACAUUUAAAGCACUCUCAGAUAUCUAAAAUCGGGACAAGUGCCGAUGGCUCUCGUAGAUAUCCGGAUUAUAAGUAUAGUCAGGAGGAGGCAGAUCAACCCAAUCAGAAGGAACGCGCGCCAGGUUAUAAGAACUGCCGGAUCUCUCGCUCAUGCUCUGGCUUUGAGAGGUGUCCUCUAAUUGCGUAGGGGCCCAUCCGAAUAUGGCGGAAGCAAAACCAUAUCCAUAUUCGUCAGGCUGAGGCUGUGGAUAAUAGAAUCCAUAUCCGUAUGCGAGCUCAUCUGCAGCUAUAUCCUGUCUUCCUAAACGACCUCGAGGAGCCCGUCUUAUAUAUCAAAUGAUAUCCUCACGGAAUCUAUCAGGUGGUCGACCGUAGUCCGUAUCCUGUGUAGCACCUGUAAAUUAAGACUCACCGGUGAAAUGAAGACCACCCUUCGGCUGUAUCUCAUAAGUACCAUACUAUCGUCCGCUCCCUCCAUGGCUAGAAGAUCCAUCACCAUCAGAACCUUCAUCGAUGCUGGUCUAAGUCUCCUCGACACUCUCCAUUAGGACCCUUUGUUUUCCUUUCCUGGCCCUCUCUGUCUGGCUAUAUCACUCUUCUCUGCUGAGCAUCUCUCGAUCAGCUCUCGGAGGGUCUCGUACCAAUCAUGUGGUGAUUGGCUCCUCUGUGCCUGCGGCUGAUCAGCUCUAGGAGUGUGUGGAAUAUUGCGCUCAGCCCAUUACUCUGAAUCGACCCUAGCCUCGGUGGCUAUAAAGCUAGCUGGUCGUGGAGGCGGUCCUGGCUCGUCAAGCUCAACUUCCUGCUGCUGGCCUACAAGCCAGCCGAGUAGUGGAUCAUCGUCAUCAUCAGUGAAGGUCCCGUAAAUCAGAUCUGCAUACUUGAGCUCCGAUUCCUCCUGAAUGCACUUUAGCCUCAACCGCAGAUUGUAGUGCACAUAAAUAAGAUCGUUGAGGCGCUUUUGUAUCAAAUGGUUUCUUUGUUUGCUGUGGAUGAGGGCGAAGGUGGACCAAUUGUGCUCACAGAUACUAGAGGAGACUGUUUGGAAGAAAAUUCGGAUAGCUAUCCGCUUUAGAUUUCUCGCGGACCCGCCAAAAUGCACCCACCAUUCAGCUGCAAAAAUAUUUAUAAAAAUUACAUAUAUGAUAGUUCCAUAUUAGUAACCAAGUAACACCAGGUGAAUGUCUUUCUGAUGUGUGACGUACCUAGAUUCAUUUUGUGUUUGCUGACGACAACCGCUCGUUGACCAAAACUGUAGAUGCCCUCUCUAAAUAAUUUGCUCUGUGAAAAAGAAGCAUUUUCUACCAUGUUAAAAAUUGAAGAUGUCGGUAUACUUACAUAUGCUGGUAAUUACUAAAUCAUAGUUACCUCUUCAAGACAUAAGGUCGCUUUUUCUGGAUCAUGCUCCAUCUGGUAAAUCACAUUACGCAAAGCAUCAUAAGUGUUUCAUUCAUACUAAUUCCAGGUAGUAUGCUGCACAUAUACGAGACUAUCUUAGCAUAAUUAUAUAAGUACAUCCAUCAUUAUAAUUGUCAAUAUUCUUGCUUACCUGAUAGAUGCAAUUCUCUACCCAUUUGUGCUCCGCAUCGUCGCUCAAUGAUGUUGAUGUACGACUGGUCAUGCGCUGGAUCUGCCUCCAUAAUCUGAUCCUUUGCCUUGACCAUCAUGUGAUACAAAAAUCCCAUUUGGGGAUAGAUCUCGCUAUCUAUGGCCCGCAACACUUCAUAUAAUAGUUUAAUAGCCUUGACUAUUGUAGUAGACAAGAUCCAGAGUUUUUGAGGACAACUUCAAUCAUGGAAGGCGUCGACAAAGAAUAUGGCCGGAUUGCAUCUAUGUUGGGUAGUUUUGGUAGCCGAAAGAAGUCAUCUAGAGGAAUUCCACAAGGAGCGACAAUUCAUGAUGUAGAUCUGCAUGCUCUNNNNNNNNNNNNNNNNNNNNNNNNNNNNNNNNNNNNNNNNNNNNNNNNNNNNNNNNNNNNNNNNNNNNNNNNNNNNNNNNNNNNNNNNNNNNNNNNNNNNNNNNNNNNNNNNNNNNNNNNNNNNNNNNNNNNNNNNNNNNNNNNNNNNNNNNNNNNNNNNNNNNNNNNNNNNNNNNNNNNNNNNNNNNNNNNNNNNNNNNNNNNNNNNNNNNNNNNNNNNNNNNNNNNNNNNNNNNNNNNNNNNNNNNNNNNNNNNNNNNNNNNNNNNNNNNNNNNNNNNNNNNNNNNNNNNNNNNNNNNNNNNNNNNNNNNNNNNNNNNNNNNNNNNNNNNNNNNNNNNNNNNNNNNNNNNNNNNNNNNNNNNNNNNNNNNNNNNNNNNNNNNNNNNNNNNNNNNNNNNNNNNNNNNNNNNNNNNNNNNNNNNNNNNNNNNNNNNNNNNNNNNNNNNNNNNNNNNNNNNNNNNNNNNNNNNNNNNNNNNNNNNNNNNNNNNNNNNNNNNNNNNNNNNNNNNNNNNNNNNNNNNNNNNNNNNNNNNNNNNNNNNNNNNNNNNNNNNNNNNNNNNNNNNNNNNNNNNNNNNNNNNNNNNNNNNNNNNNNNNNNNNNNNNNNNNNNNNNNNNNNNNNNNNNNNNNNNNNNNNNNNNNNNNNNNNNNNNNNNNNNNNNNNNNNNNNAACACUUCUGGAUGCUUUGCGUAAUGUGAUUUACAAGAUGGAGCAUGAUCCAGAAAAAGCGACCCUAUGUCUUGAAGAGGUAACUAUGAUUUAGUAAUUACCAGCAUGUGUAAGUAUACCGGCAUCUUUAAUUAUUAACAUGGUAGAACAUGCUUCUUUUUUACAGAGCAAAUUAUUUAGAGGGCAGCUACAGUUUUGGCCACCGAGCGGCUGUCGUCAGCAAACACAAUAUGAAUCCAGAUGCGUCACACAUCAGGAAGACAUUCACCUGGUGUUACUUGGUUACUAAUAUGGAACUAUCAUAUAUGUAAUUUUCAUAAAUAUUUUUGCAGCUGAAUGGUGGGUGCAUUUUGGCGGAUCCGCGAGAAAUCUAAAGCCGAUAGCUAUCCGAAUUUUCUUCCAAACAGUCUCCUCUAGUAGCUGUGAGCACAAUUGGUCCACCUUCGCCCUCAUCCACAGCAAACAAAGAAACCAUUUGAUACAAAAACGCCUCAACGACCUUGUUUAUGUGCACUACAAUCUGCGGUUGAGGCUAAAGUGCAUUCAGGAGGAACCGGAGCUCAAGUAUGCAGAUCCGAUUUACGGGACCUUCACUGAUGAUGACGAUGAUCCACUACUCGACUGGCUUGUAGGCCAGCAGCAGGAGCCCGAGCUUGAUGAGCCAGGAUCGCCUCUACGACCAGCUAGCUUCAUAGCCACGGAGGCUAGGGUUGAUCCAAAGCAAUGGGCUGAGCGCAACGCACUCCCAGAGUUGAUCAGUCGCAGGCACAAAGGAGCCAGUCACCACAUAAUUGGUACGAGACACCUUCCGAGAGAGCUGAUCGAGAAAUGCUCAACAGAGAAGGGCGACAGCCAAACAGAGAGGGCCAAGAAGGAAAAACAAAGGGUCCCAAUGGAGAGUGUCAAAGAGGAGACUUGGAUCAGCAGCGAUGAAGGUUUUGGUGGUGAUGGAUCUUCUAGCCAUGGAGGGAGCGGAGGAUAGUAUGAUACUUAUGAGACACAACCGAAGGAUGGUCUAUAUUUCACCGGUGAGUCCCAAUUUAUGGGUGCUACACAGGAUACGGACCACGGUCAACCACCUGAUAGAUUCCGUGAGGAUAUCAUUGGAUAUAGAAGACGGGCUCCUCGAGGUCGUUUAGGAAGACAGGAUAUAGCUGUAGAUGAGCUCGCAUACGGAUACGGAUUUUAUUAUCCACAGCCUCAGCCUGACGAAUAUGGAUAUGGUGUAUCAGAUUUUGCUUCCGCCAUACUCGGAUGGGCCCCUACACAAUCAGAGGACACCUCUAAGAGCUAGAGCGUGAGCAAGAGAUCCGACAGUUCUUAUAACCUGGCGCGUGUUCCUUCUGAUUGGGUUGAUCUGCCUCCUCCUGACUAUACUUAUGAUCUGGAUAUCUACGAGAGCCAUCGGCACUCGCCCCGAUUUUAGAUAUCCGAGAGUGCUUUAAAUGUAUGUAAAUAAUUGUAUCUUAAUUUGAAGAUAUUUUAUGUGUAUUAUUUUAUCAUUUGGAACGGAAGGAAGUAAUAACAUGCAUCAUCUAUGUUUCAAAUUUAAACCCUAAAUUUAAACAUAGAAACAUCAAAAAUCAUAAAAAAAGAAAUAAAAAAAUCAAAGUUUAUUUAAUUUAAGAUCCAAUAGAGACAACAUUUAAAAAAAAAUGGAACCCAAAAUCCGGCUCGCCGUACUGGGCCGGUACGAUACCAAUACCGGCGGGUACGGCGGACCUUGCAUAUACAUAUCCAUAAGUACAUAAGUACAUAUAAUAUAUAUACAUAUAUAUGAUCCCAUUGCAUAUGUAACUAAUAAAAAAGUACUGCCUCAUCUUUCAUACAUUACUAAAUGGAAUAUUCAUGAUCCUAUUGCAUGUGAAAAUCAAGGGAGAAAAAAUUAAGGCAAAAAAGAGGCAUCAGUGAAGAAUAUUAGGACCAAGGUUUGCUAUACUGAUUGGUACAAUACCGUAUCAGACGUAUCGUAUCAUACCGCUCGGUGGCAUCGUAUCGACACUCAGUACACCUCGCUGUCUCAUACCGUACCGUGUACCGACACUAUAGUAGAAUGGUACUGGUACGGAAUCCGAUACUGAAACAACGAACCUUGAUUAUGAUUGUUAGGGCAUGGCCAUGUGGGAAUCACUGAGCUGACUAAAUUAAUUAUCUCCCAUGCGCAACUUUUUUUCUCUUUUACUAUGAGGUAUAUCUAAAUGUUAUUUUCUUACCCUUUUCUUUAUCAGCUUUUAGAAUCUUAUACCUACUAGGAAAGAAGAUAUAAACUUAAUGGCUCUCCAUAAUAAGAGGGGCUAAAUGCAAAUAUAGUUUUUAGUUCAUCUUCUUAUUUAUGGUUUCAUUAUUCCGAUUAAGGAACCACCAUCUGGGUAAAGAAUUUGAUCUACAAAAUAAACUGCUGCAAUUUCCUUUUUCUUUGGGGGGUGUAGAAAUUUUCAUCUCUAAAAUUUUAAUAUUUCAUAUCCCAAUAAUAUGGAUGUCCGACUUUCAAAUUGAACCUCCAUUAAUUAUUAAGCAAGAGAAUCUUAUUCAAGCUAAAAAGACAAAGAAAGCAAACACUACCAGAAGAUAUGUUAAGCAGGAGUAUCCAAACAAUUAGGAACCACCUUUUCAAGGUUUUGGCCAGGAUCAUACUGCCCCCGGCGAUAAGAAAGCAGCUGGGAUAACUCAAACAGUGGUUGCCCCUCGAGGAAGAGCUCAGCAAUAACACAACUGAAAGGGAAAUGAUGAUGAGACAUUCUAUAAAUCAUUUAAAGGACAGCAAAAAAAAAAAUAUAAACGUCAGAGUAUACUUAUUUAUACAAGUUGCCAGAAAUAAUACAUUUAAAAAAUCAAAAUGCACCAUCAAUAACAAUUUCAAAUUUAGACACGUCAACCCAACUAAUCAUAAAGAAAGUACGUCCUGCAAAUAUAUGCAUAAAUACCUAAGAGGAAAAAGAUGCUUCUUCUCUAGAUGAAAAUGCGUGUGUAGGCAAAAGCCGCCUACACUUAGCAUGAAAUACAAAAGGCUGGAUCCUGAUGUUGGCCACACCCGAUUUACAUGAGGUCUGUGUGAUUCAAAGGGACAGGGGUGGCUUCAGUGCUUCGCAUUGCAUGUAGGCAGUGUUUACCUGCACGCUCGUGCAGGUUCAGCACCACCUUGAUCUUAUGCCAACCAACUUUAAAAGAAAUUUACAUCCGAUCCAUUAGGAUAAAACAUAAUAUUAAGUAUAAGAUCUAAUCUCAAUGCUUGUCUUUUGAAAAAUUCAGUUACUUCAUAACAUAUGUCUUUAAACCAAUGGACUGCAAAUGUCCUUUUUCAGAAACCAAUUCUUUCUGUCUUAGCAUCGCGUCAGAAAAAUAGAUCACAUUGUACAUGUUAUGCUUGCAGUCCUUUAGAAAGCACCACUUAUAUUUCAUCAUUUUUUCCUCUUUGUGCUUAAAGUUAUAUUUUUUGCCAAGCUCUGUCUUCAACAAAAUUUAAAAUGGUUCAAGAUAAAAUUUUCUAGAAUAUUAAAUAUUUUUUCACUCAGACCUAUUCACAAUAGACAUUUUCACAAUCAUUACCUAGAUGUGCAUUUAAUAAUAACUUUUCUAUGUACAUCUAUUUUUCUAAUUUUAUUAUACAUCAAAGUAUCCAUGCAUUGAAUUGAGCCUGCACUAAGUAUUCAUAUGUAAUUUUAGAGCUUUCCAAAAAAAAUUAGCAGACUUAUCUUCUUCUGGGUAUUUAAACACUAAUUAAAAGAGAUGCUUCAUGGCAUAUGAAAUUUUGAAGGAGAAAAAUCUGCACUUAAAUGGCACAAAAUUGAAGCAGCCCCAAUUUGGGAGCUUUAUUAGCCCAAGACUUCGAGACCGAAGUACAUCGGUACUAGCCCAAGUCCCUCGGGCCUGGACAAGGCCCAAUCACAUUACUUAGAAGAUUCUACCAACUACUUGACAACUCAAUGCCAACCCAUUGACAACCAUUACUUAGCUAAUAACCAGCUAAGUGCUAAAUAGCACCUUUGUGUGACAACUCAAUGCCAACAAUAUGGACAACCAUUACUUAGAUGUUUUUGUAAUGUGUUAAUUGCAAACCUCCUCUACAAAAGGAGGUUAGAUGUCUUUUGUAAAGGCAUGUUGUGUUGUGUUCUAGAAUAAAGUUUCUAGUUCCUAUAUUUGAAGGAGUGAUUACUUCUUUACUAGGUCAAGCCCAAGGUGUGAUUCUAGCGUUGUUUACCUUCCCAGUUUCUUAUUUUUCUCAUUUCCCUUCUUUCUAUUUAGUUUCUCCCUUGUUUCCUUCCAUAUUUCUAAAGCCUAAAAACCUGCUUAAUUUUUACUCUCAAAACCAGAACCUUAUCUUGUAUAAUUUGAUAUAACAGCACUUGUUGCAUCAUUAAUGCAAGAAGAUCUUAAUGAGAUGAACUCCUUGACUUGAUUCUAUCUGGGUAAUCUGAUAUAUUUGCUAUAACAGCAGUUGUUGCAUCAUUAAUGCAAGAAGAUGUUAGUGAGAUGAACUCCCUGACUUGAUACUAUCCGGGUAAUGAAGAUAUAGUGUAUCAGUUGGUCCCCCUAUGGCCCAACUUCCAACACACAAAAGACAAGGUUAAUGCUGCUCCCGCUUGUUGACUAGCAUCACCAUGCUGAUAUAUAUAUACUCAUUACUGUAUUGCCACAAAAACCACAACUAAUAGUCCCAUAACAACGCAUAUUUUCCCCAUGCAAAUUCCAGCAAAAGCUGAAGGAACCAACCAGAUAACAUUAUCCUUCAAAUGCAUUUUUCUCUAUUCAUGUGUAAGCAUGCAGAUACUAGAUACAAUAAUACAACUGGCUUAGAA